Molecule: ribosomal RNA, 499 nt
Filed under: uncultured bacterium
Lineage: Bacteria
Description: partial 16S ribosomal RNA
Rfam family: Bacterial small subunit ribosomal RNA
Source: RNAcentral
AUUGAACGCUGGCGGAAUGCUUUACACAUGCAAGUCGAACGGCAGCACGGACUUCGGUCUGGUGGCGAGUGGCGAACGGGUGAGUAAUGUAUCGGAACGUGCCCAGUCGGGGGGGAUAACGUAGUGAAAAUUACGCUAAUACCGCAUACGAUCUAUGGAUGAAAGCGGGGGAUCGCAAGACCUCGCGCGAAUGGAACGGCCGAUAUCAGAUUAGGUAGUUGGUGGGGUAAAGGCCCACCAAGCCAACGAUCUGUAGCUGGUCUGAGAGGACGACCAGCCACACUGGAACUGAGACACGGUCCAGACUCCUACGGGAGGCAGCAGUGGGGAAUUUUGGACAAUGGGCGAAAGCCUGAUCCAGCCAUUCCGCGUGCAGGGUGAAGGCCCUCGGGUUGUAAACUGCUUUUGUACAGAACGAAAAGGUUUCUACUAAUACUAGGAGCUCAUGACGGUACUGUAAGAAUAAGCACCGGCUAACUACGUGCCAGCCGCGCCGUAA